This is a long non-coding RNA of Eurytemora carolleeae, 1064 nucleotides long. RefSeq lists it as uncharacterized. NCBI's taxonomy places the organism in Eukaryota, Metazoa, Arthropoda, Copepoda, Calanoida, Temoridae. The record is from RefSeq and is a predicted model, not a curated record. The transcript has 3 exons.
AGAAGGGAAUCGGUGUUAGGUAUAGAUCAUGUAGUGACAUACAGUACAAAGGAAAAUACGGGUUGCGGCAUCUGUUUAUAUACAGUGUACACAGCUCUGGGGUAUGUAAACAGUAGACAGUAAAUUUUGAGCAUCAUGCGAUACUGUUCUGUGGUUAACUGUACCACAAAUGGUUCUCAUGUUGAUAUGAGAAUCCAUAUACUGUUCGUGAAGAAUGGAAAUCUUUGAGCUGUUGGAAAAAUAUUCCAACUUUUAUCUGCUCUCGUCAUUUUACUCAAAACUCUUACAGCAAAUCAAAGAAGAAAUUUAAAAAAUACGCUAAACCCACAGUGUUUUUGCCAACACAGAUCCUGGCAGAACAUAACUAUGCAUUCCCUGAUAAUAAAGUGUUAAAGAGAAGGCUUGAUGAUGCAACUGAGCAAGGCGUGAAGUAUCAAAAACAGUUUUAUAAAGCAGAUGAAAGAUGUAAAACCCUGGGGGUCAGGGUUUCUGACUUGCAGAGUACGAUUGCAGAGCUUAAAGAAAAGUUCCAGGUAUCUGCUGAACACAUAUCUUGUCUGCAAAAUCUGCCUUAGAUAUUCCAUCAAGCUUCUUUCAACAAACUGCUGUCAAAGUCAAGGACUCAAAGAUGAGAGCAGAGAAUCCUGAAACCCUGCGUAGUUUUGCACUUAAUCCGCAUUCUUAUUCUGCAUGCGCUUACAGAUAUUUACGAAAAGUGUUUUACAACACUUUACCACACGAAAGCACAUUGAGGAAGUGGUGUGAAAAUUUAGAUGCCUCGCCAGAAUUUACAGAGCAAUUAUAAGUUUAAAAAAUUACAUUAGAACUAAUUAGUUGCAGAGAUACCGGAAUCCAAAAUCCAAGAUGCAAAGAUGAAAGACAAAUUAUUUUGUGCCAGACAGAUAUUAAACCGAAUCUGUCUCAAAACUGUGUCUAAUCUGAAUGACAGAACACCCUGACAUCUUUAAGAAGGCUGAUCAUGGAGAACUACAUAAAUAUUCCUUGCUUAGAGAAACUGCACUACUGUACACAGUCCUACGGCUGAAACAUCUUGCCAAGAAGAA